CCGCGUGAGUGAAGAAGGCCCUUGGGUCGUAAAGCUCUUUUAUGGGGGAAGAUAAUGACGGUACCCCAAGAAUAAGCACCGGCUAACUACGUGCCAGCAGCCGCGGUAAUACGUAGGGUGCGAGCGUUGUUCGGAUUUACUGGGCGUAAAGGGCGCGCAGGCGGAAUAGCAAGUCGGAGGUGAAAGCCCGGGGCUCAACCCCGGAGGGUCUUUCGAAACUGCUAAUCUAGAGAGGGUCAGGGGCCAGCAGAAUUCUUGGUGUAGAGGUGAAAUUCGUAGAUAUCAAGAGGAAUACCGGUGGCGAAAGCGGCUGGCUAGGACCACUCUGACGCUGAGGCGCGAAAGCGUGGGGAGCAAACAGGAUUAGAUACCCCAGUAGUCC
This 382-nucleotide ribosomal RNA is filed under the name uncultured bacterium. RNAcentral's name for it is "bacterial SSU rRNA". It matches the Rfam family "Bacterial small subunit ribosomal RNA", at positions 397 to 796 of the family's 1533-position model. The record is from RNAcentral.